GCAUCUUUUUAUUUUUAAAAGACCUAGCAAUAGGUAUGCUUAGGGAAGAGCUUGCGUCACAUUAGUUAGUUGGUGGGGUAAUGGCCUACCAAGACGAUGAUGUGUAGCCGGGCUGAGAGGUCGAACGGCCACAUUGGGACUGAGACACGGCCCAAACUCCUACGGGAGGCAGCAGUAAGGAAUUUUCGGCAAUGGAGGAAACUCUGACCGAGCAAUGCCGCGUGAACGAUGAAGUAUUUCGGUACGUAAAGUUCUUUUAUUAGGGAAGAAAAGAUGGUGGAAAAACCAUUAUGACGGUACCUAAUGAAUAAGCCCCGGCUAACUAUGUGCCAGCAGCCGCGGUAAUACAUAGGGGGCAAGCGUUAUCCGGAAUUAUUGGGCGUAAAGGGUGCGUAGGCGGUUAAAUAAGUUUAUGGUCUAAGUGCAACGCUCAACGUUGUGAUGCUAUAAAAACUGUUUAGCUAGAGUUGGAUAGAGGCAAGUGGAAUUCCGUGUGUAGUGGUAAAAUGCGUAAAUAUACGGAGGAACACCAGAAGCGAAGGCGGCUUGCUGGGUCUUAACUGACGCUGAGGCACGAAAGCGUGGGGAGCAAACAGGAUUAGAUACCCUGGUAGUCCACGCCCUAAACGAUGAGUACUAAACGUUGGAUAAAACCAGUGUUGAAGUUAACACAUUAAGUACUCCGCCUGAGUAGUACGUACGCAAGUAUGAAACUUAAAGGAAUUGACGGGACUCCGCACAAGCGGUGGAUCAUGUUGUUUAAUUCGAAGGUACCCGAAAAACCUCACCAGGUCUUGACAUGCUUUUGCAAAGCUGUAGAAAUACAGUGGAGGUUAUCAGAAGCACAGGUGGUGCAUGGUUGUCGUCAGCUCGUGUCGUGAGAUGUUGGGUUAAGUCCCGCAACGAGCGCAACCCUUGUUGUUAAUUGCCAUCAUUAAGUUGGGGACUUUAGCAAGACUGCCAAUGAUAAAUUGGAGGAAGGUGGGGACGACGUCAAAUCAUCAUGCCCCUUAUGACCUGGGCUACAAACGUGAUACAAUGGCUGUUACAAAGGGUAGCUAAAGCGUAAGCUUCUGGCGAAUCUCAAAAAAGCAGUCUCAGUUCGGAUUGAAGUCUGCAACUCGACUUCAUGAAGUUGGAAUCGCUAGUAAUCGCGAAUCAGCAUGUCGCGGUGAAUACGUUC
This 1183-nucleotide ribosomal RNA is filed under the name Candidatus Phytoplasma solani. Its description in RNAcentral is "bacterial SSU rRNA". It matches the Rfam family "Bacterial small subunit ribosomal RNA", at positions 173 to 1373 of the family's 1533-position model. The record is from RNAcentral. Lineage: Bacteria; Bacillati; Mycoplasmatota; Mollicutes; Acholeplasmatales; Acholeplasmataceae.